GGGGCUGUGGAUCAGAGGUAGAACAUCUGCUUGGAAUGCAGGAAAUCCCAGGUUCAAUACCCAGCAUUUUCA
This 72-nucleotide transfer RNA is filed under the name Sphaerodactylus townsendi. RNAcentral's name for it is "tRNA-Ser". It matches the Rfam family "tRNA". Rfam says of the family: Transfer RNA (tRNA) molecules are approximately 80 nucleotides in length. Their secondary structure includes four short double-helical elements and three loops (D, anti-codon, and T loops). Lineage: Eukaryota; Metazoa; Chordata; Lepidosauria; Squamata; Sphaerodactylidae. The record is from RNAcentral.